Long non-coding RNA from Camelus dromedarius (Arabian camel), 926 nucleotides. RefSeq lists it as uncharacterized. The transcript is spliced from 7 exons. Lineage: Eukaryota; Metazoa; Chordata; Mammalia; Artiodactyla; Camelidae. The record is from RefSeq and is a predicted model, not a curated record.
UUCUAGAAAACAACAGCUUGUCCUGUGGAGAAUUCUGAGUACAUGCAGAUGGAAAAUUAGAGGCUGAAUACCAAAAGACAAAGGAGCUGUUUUCCUGAGAGUCCAUCUGGGACCCUAAGUACAAGCAGUGGUGAGCUAGUUAGCAAAGGUGAAGUACGGAGCUGGAGGAGCAAUACUGGAUCCAAAAGGCAAGAUGUACAGUCUAUCAGGAAGAUUAGCCAUCAUAAGCGUGUAGGACCAAUCAUCCAUUCCCUCAUGAUACCGACUCAUUUCUAAACUGAUAUGCAGUGCAGGCCCUGGAAUCCCAUGGCAGCCCUUGUUUAUAGUGAUCUUCCAGGUGACCUGUCGUUGCAGAUUCCCAUGUAAUUGCAAGCAGAAUAUUACGGUGGUGAACAUCACAGUCUCCGAGGGAUCAAAGAAGAUCUAACCCCUCAACAACCAGCUCUGCAUUGUUGUGUAAGAUCAUGAAGCUGGGAACUAUUGCAGCUGCCCAGUGCCCACGAGGGUGGAAGCCUGAGUGUAAAGGCCGACAUCGGGAUGACAGAGAAGACAGACAGAGAGAGCCAGAGUCUAAACGGCAUUGUUGAGUCAGGAACUCAUCCAACAGUCACAACAUUUAUGAGAAAGAAACACGCAAACUCUGUAUCUAGACAAAGCAGGAGGAGCUAACACUCAAAACCCAAAUGGAUGGAAAGAAUGUUCACAGCAGUGAAUAUUUCUCAGAUAUCGUGGCUGAGAUGCUGAAGAGCACACUGGAACGGCUUUUUGCAGCUACAGGGGCAGAACAAGGACUCUAGCACAUAUCAAGAGGGAUGCCAGAACAUCUUUGGAUAACUACAGGAAUAUGACUAAACAAGAAGAAACGUGUUUCACUAAGAUAAGUUAUUCCUUUGAAUUAUUUGAUUUUUUUCUGAUUAUGCAACCUU